UACGAAGGGGGCUAGCGUUGCUCGGAAUCACUGGGCGUAAAGAGCGCGCAGGCGGCUUGGCAAGUCGGGUGUGAAAUCCCGGGGCUCAACCCCGGGACUGCAUUCGAUACUGUCAGGCUAGAGGUAGGUAGGGGAGAUCGGAAUUCCUGGUGUAGCGGUGAAAUGCGCAGAUAUCAGGAGGAACACCGGUGGCGAAGGCGGAUCUCUGGGCCUUACCUGACGCUCAGGCGCGAAAGCUAGGAGAGCGAACAGG
Molecule: ribosomal RNA, 253 nt
Filed under: uncultured bacterium
Lineage: Bacteria
Description: partial 16S ribosomal RNA
Rfam family: Bacterial small subunit ribosomal RNA
Source: RNAcentral